Molecule: non-coding RNA, 102 nt
Organism: Oryza brachyantha (malo sina)
Lineage: Eukaryota; Viridiplantae; Streptophyta; Magnoliopsida; Poales; Poaceae
Source: Rfam
UGGAAAGAGCGAUAUUGGUGAGGUUCAAUCCGAUGAUGGGUUUUACAGCGCAGUGGUAAAACCAGUAUCUGAUUGAGCCGCGCCAAUAUCUCUUCCUCCUAU